Long non-coding RNA from Topomyia yanbarensis, 2226 nucleotides. RefSeq lists it as uncharacterized. The record is from RefSeq and is a predicted model, not a curated record. NCBI's taxonomy places the organism in Eukaryota, Metazoa, Arthropoda, Insecta, Diptera, Culicidae. The transcript has 7 exons.
UAAAACUUGUCUGCCACUAUUUUUUACCAGCGGUUGCAUUCCUGAUUUAGAGAAAUCGGAGUAAAGCACAAAAGUCAUAUUACAGCCUUGGUUCCUACCAGUUCCUUGCAUGAAAAUAUCACUGCCUCCACAGUGCUCGUGAUUCCAUUCCAGCAGCAGCAAGCAAUCACUAUUCGAGUGCUUAUCGCCAACAUUUCACAGCAAGCUCAGCAGCAGAACCACCUUCAACCAUAACAUCAGAAAAUUAAGAUUUCCUCCAGACCAUGACCAUCAUCCUAAAGGUCGGUAGCAAUAACGUUCAGCCGACGGUACAACCUGGUCAGCAACCGCAAUUAGUGCAAUAGAUCCAAGCCAAAUGUAGAAGACCAUUGACCAACUGCAAAAAAGAUAGCAACAGCACAUUCAAACACAGUAGCAGCAGCAUACUAUACUGUACCAUGCGGUGUGCAGGAGGACUUUUUUAUUCAGUUGGUGCGGCAAGAUCGAACACCAACAACAUAAUAUCAUGGUAAUCACCCAGCAAGAGAACGCAGUGAUAAUGGAUCAACAGAAAACACAACAUCAAUAUGCUCGGAAAGGACUUUCUCUUUCGAACAAACAUAUUGGCACGUCAUGUUCAAUCGGCUAACCGUUUGGAAUAAGCGCUCAUCAUCGGUUUCAUGGCAGGGAAGUGAGCAGGCAAAAGAAGGCAUCGUUUUUUCCGCAAGGUCGCUCUGGUCAAAAUUUCAGCGAAUUGCAGGGAAUAAAGCACCCGAGGGACAGUACCCGUGCUGAUUCAGGACGAUUUCCCAUACUUUGUACCUUGCUAUUGAAUUUUUAUACCCGAUCGAAACGAUGGCAAGCGCUGCCGAUAACUGGGUCAAAAAGACGACGGAUCAAGAAAUUUCUGCACUCGGUUAGCGAACUGAGUACAUAUCACCAAGGAUAAGGAUUCAGAGCCGGCGGCUGGCAGUCCAGAGAAAGAGAAUGCGGAAAAAUCUAGUCCACCGCCAGUAGAACCAAAGCUGCACCUGAUGUUUGGAGUUCGGUAGCUACGGAAAUUCUGACUCUAGCAGCUCCAGAAGAAAAACAAGCUGCAAGAGGAAAUGGAGAAACAGCUUCCUCCGCGGAAGAUGCAGAGGUAUUCAACCCGGCGGAUGCAAGUUUGCUAAUGAAAGAUGUUCGUUAAGGUCUAGUAGAAUCAAAGCUGGAUUUGGAGGUGCAGCGGAAGGAUUGGUUGGUUACAACUUUCGAAGCUUUGCACAUGAAGCAGGAAUUACUACAGAGAGUCUAUGCGAUGGGUUUCAACGCCCCUUCCAAGAUUCAGGAGAAGGCUCUACCUACUCUGUUGACCGGUCCGCCACGGAAUAUAAUCGCCCAGAGUCAGUCGGGAAUAGGAAAAACCGCUGCCUUCGUGCUGGCAAUGCUCAGUUGAGUCCAUCAGUUAAAAAACUAUCUGCAGGUGAUAUGCCUUUCCCCCACGUAUGAGCUGGCAAUUCAGAAGGGGGAAGUAGCUGCCAAAAUGGCAAAGUUUUGUCCGGAAAUCAAACUUCCUUACGCCGUUCGCAGUGAGGAGACCAUCAAAGGGGCGAAGCUGACUAAUCAUAUCAUCAUCGGAACACCCGGCAAGCUAAUGGACUGGAGUAUAAAGUUCAGGACGUACGACCUAGUUUUCCCUUUUUGUACUGUACGAGGCGGGUGUUAUGGUCGGUGUUCUUCUUGGCCACGUACGAGCGCGAGGUGAUGGAGUUUGCCGAGUAUAUCCAGGACGCAACCAGGACGAGAAAUUGUGUGAUUACCGUCGGACAAGCGAUCAUUUUCUGUCAUAUGAUGUAUAGGACAGUUGUAAACUCCAAGUAAACUUAUUAUCAGAACUGUUAAUCGAUCGAAACAGGUACGCAAAACGGCCGGUUGGUUGACCGGCAGGCUGUCCCAGGAUGGUCACUCGGUAGCGGUACUGUCCGGUGAUCUGACGGUGGAGCAACGGUUGGACGCUCUGGAUCGAUUCCGAACCGGACUAGAGAAGGUACAGAUUAUAACGAACGUUUUGUCCAGGGGUAUCGACGUCGAACAGGUGACCAUUGUCGUCAACUUCGACCUCCCGAUGGAUCAGCAGGGACGAGCCGAUUGCGAAACGUAUCUACAUCGAAUUAGACGCACCGGUAGAUUCGAACGGAAUCACCAUCAACCUAGUGGGCAGUAAUCGAAGCAUGAUGAUUUGCAGAUCAAUCAAAAAACACUUCCGGA